CAUACACGAGCAGCGUACAUUUACGCGCAGUCUUGUAGGAAAUGACUGCCACUUUGAAGCUGAAUGAGCUUCUUCAAGCCACGAGGAAGGGCCCACUCGUUGCCGCGCGCUAUUGAUAGGUUGGCGUGGCUCGGACAGUUCGAUGGCGAUUUCUGAAUUAGACCCCAACGCUCGCAAUGGCCAUGCACAAUCACGCUGCUCAAAACAGGACAACUCCUCUGUUCUUGCGUCCAGGAGCGUACAGGUGAAAGUCGACUGGACUAAAGACAACGCUGCCACGGCAGAAGAGUAUGAAAAGAAGACACAAGGUUGAAAAGUUUUGCCUGCAGCUCCUAAAUUGUGACACUAAUAAAUUGUCUUCUCCUAUACUA
Molecule: long non-coding RNA, 371 nt
Organism: Rhipicephalus microplus (southern cattle tick)
Lineage: Eukaryota; Metazoa; Arthropoda; Arachnida; Ixodida; Ixodidae
Source: RefSeq, a predicted model, not a curated record